GACGAACGCUGGCGGCGGGCUUAACACAUGCAAGUCGAACGGAAAGGCCCUGCUUUUGUGGGGUGCUCGAGUGGCGAACGAGUGAGUAACAGGAGAGUAACCUGCUCUUGACUUUGGGAUAACUUCAGGAAACUGGGGCUAAUAUCGGAUAGGAGCCCCCGUUGCAUGGUGGGGGGUGGAAAGUCUCGGCCGUCGGGGAUGGAUUGGCGGCUUAUCAGCUAGUUGGUGGGGUAGUGGCUUACCAACGCAUUGACGGGUAGCCGGCUGGAGAGGGUGGCCGGCCACAAUAGGACUAAGGUACGGCGCAGAGUCGUACGGGGGACAACGGUGGGAAGUAUUACACAGUCAGCGGGAGCCUGAUAAGACGGCGCCGCGGUCGGAAAGACGGCCUUCUGGUAAUGAACCGCAUUCGGCUAUGACGAAGCGUGAGUGACGGUAAUGGAUGAAGAAGCACCGGCUAACUACGUG
This 468-nucleotide ribosomal RNA is filed under the name uncultured bacterium. RNAcentral's name for it is "partial 16S ribosomal RNA". It matches the Rfam family "Bacterial small subunit ribosomal RNA", at positions 28 to 507 of the family's 1533-position model. The record is from RNAcentral.